This 1035-nucleotide ribosomal RNA is filed under the name Pithecopus gonzagai. RNAcentral's name for it is "partial large subunit ribosomal RNA". It matches the Rfam family "Bacterial large subunit ribosomal RNA", at positions 815 to 2541 of the family's 2925-position model. Lineage: Eukaryota; Metazoa; Chordata; Amphibia; Anura; Hylidae. The record is from RNAcentral.
GUAGAGGUGACAGACCUAACGAGCUUAGUGAUAGCUGGUUACUUAAGAAAAGGAUCUUAGUCCUCCCCAAAUUUUUUACAAUAUUUAUAAAUAAAAACUAAAAUUUGGAGUUAUUCAAAUAAGGUACAGCCUAUUUGAACCAGGAUACAACCUCCUCAAACGGGUAAUUAAAUCCAUAUACAGCAAAGUAGGCCUAAAAGCAGCCAUCUUCAAAAAGCGUCAAAGCUUAUCUUCAAAUUUUCAUAAUCCCCCUAAUUUUUAAAACCCCUUAAUCUUUAUUAAGUAACUCUAUAAAAUUAUAGUAUUUAUUAUGUUAAAACUAGUAACGAGAAUCAGAACUUCUCUUUAAUGUAAGUGUAAAUCAGAAUGGACAAACCACUGAUUUUUAACACUUGAAACCAAAGUAACAACCCACCAAGAAAAUCUUACCCCAAAUAGUGUUAACCUGACACAAGAACAUUCUCAGACAGAUUGAAAGGAAAAGAAGGAACUCGGCAAACAUUAACCCCGCCUGUUUACCAAAAACAUCGCCUCUUGAUAAACAUAUAAGAGGUCCAGCCUGCCCAGUGACUCUGUUCAACGGCCGCGGUAUCCUAACCGUGCGAAGGUAGCGUAAUCACUUGUUCUUUAAAUGAGGACUAGUAUGAAUGGCAUCACGAGGGUUAUACUGUCUCCUUUCCCCAAUCAGUGAAACUAAUCUCCUCGUGAAGAAGCGAGGAUAAAUAUAUAAGACGAGAAGACCCUAUGGAGCUUAAAACUUUCAGCAAUUAUCUUUUCUAUAACAACCUUAAGGUUAUUACAUCAACUCUAAUAAUAUGCCUGUCAGUUUUCGGUUGGGGUGACCGCGGAGUAAAACUCACCCUCCGCAAUGAAUAUUAACAAUUAAGCAAAAAACUACAAUUUUAUGCAUCAAAAAAUUGACAGUAUUGACCCAACACUUUGAUCAACGAACCAAGUUACCCUAGGGAUAACAGCGCAAUCCAUCUCAAGAGCUCAUAUCGACAGAUGGGUUUACGACCUCGAUGUUGGAUCAGG